RNAcentral lists this non-coding RNA (203 nucleotides) under Onchocerca volvulus. Its description in RNAcentral is "Eukaryotic large subunit ribosomal RNA". It matches the Rfam family "Eukaryotic large subunit ribosomal RNA", at positions 967 to 1170 of the family's 3401-position model. The record is from Rfam by way of RNAcentral. Lineage: Eukaryota; Metazoa; Nematoda; Chromadorea; Rhabditida; Onchocercidae.
UUUUCCUCAGGAUAGUUGAAAUAAGUAAUGAAGCUCUUAUAUUCGGUAAAGAAAGUGAUUGGAGGAAUAGUGGGAUGAAACGUCUCUAACUUAUUCGCAAACUUUCAAUAAGUAUAACGUCUCGUUUGCUUGGAUGAAGCGUAGACAUGAAUGUGUGCUUAGUGGGUCCUUUUUGUUAAGAAUUGGCGUUGUGGGAUGAACCA